RNAcentral lists this long non-coding RNA (596 nucleotides) under Pogona vitticeps (central bearded dragon). Its description in RNAcentral is "lncRNA (ENSPVIG00000001287.1)". Lineage: Eukaryota; Metazoa; Chordata; Lepidosauria; Squamata; Agamidae. The record is from RNAcentral.
AAACCACUAAACAGCCCGGUUUGUAGAGUUUUUUUGUUUGUAAGUGCAGUUCAUGCCCAUCUCUACUUAUAAUUUUAGGCAAAUGAGUGAAGUGUUUUUUAACAGCCCGGUUUGUGGGUUUUUGUUUUUGUUUUUGUUUUUGUUUAUUUUAUUUUUUUUUGUAAGUGCAGUUCAUGCCCAUCUCUAGUUAUAAUUUUAGGCAAAUGAGUGAAGUUUUUUUUAACCUAGUGAAACAGAGAACUUAGAAAGGAAAAUUUGAAAGCCAGAGUCGUGUGACCCAGUAUGGGACAGAUUCCUGCUGAGAUUUCUUAUGGCAAUUAACAGCCAAAAGUUACACCUUUUGUGUAAUUGUGCGACAGGAUUUCAGCUAAUAUGUGAGAAAGCUUCUAAGAAGGCGUCUCCUAACCAUACUGUCUCCACCAAAAUGAAAAAUUUGCAGUGCAGCCAAAAAUAUGUUGAGAGAUUGAUGGAAGAAGUGAUCAUACACCAUAUUUCUUUUGCCACAUGUGUAUGGUUAGCCGCCUAGAGUGGUCCUGACACGACCAGAUAGGCGGGAUAUAAAUAAAAUAAAAUAAAAUUAAAAUAUACUUAUUUAU